This 405-nucleotide ribosomal RNA is filed under the name uncultured bacterium. RNAcentral describes it as "partial 16S ribosomal RNA". It matches the Rfam family "Bacterial small subunit ribosomal RNA", at positions 29 to 417 of the family's 1533-position model. The record is from RNAcentral.
AAUCAACGCUGGCGGCGUGCCUCAGACAUGCAAGUCGAACGCGAAAGUCCCCUUCGGGGGACAAGUAGAGUGGCGCACGGGUGAGUAACACGUAGGUAAUCUACCUUCGGAUGGGGAAUAACAACCGGAAACGGUUGCUAAUACCGCAUAAUGCAGCGGCACCUAAUGGUGACAGUUGUUAAAGCGGGGGAUCGAAAGACCUCGCGUCUGAAGAGGAGCCUGCGGCGGAUUAGCUAGUGGUAAGGUAAUGGCCUACCAAGGCGACGACGGGUAGCCGGCCUGAGAGGGCGACCGGCCACACUGGGACUGAGACACGGCCCAGACUCCUACGGGAGGCAGCAGUGGGGAAUAUUGCACAAUGGGCGAAAGCCUGAUGCAGCGACGCCGCGUGAGGGAUGACGGCCU